This 72-nucleotide transfer RNA is filed under the name Loxodonta africana (African savanna elephant). It matches the Rfam family "tRNA". From Rfam's summary of the family: Transfer RNA (tRNA) molecules are approximately 80 nucleotides in length. Their secondary structure includes four short double-helical elements and three loops (D, anti-codon, and T loops). The record is from Rfam by way of RNAcentral. Lineage: Eukaryota; Metazoa; Chordata; Mammalia; Proboscidea; Elephantidae.
GCAGUGGUGGUUCUGUGGUAGAAUUCUUGCCUUCCACAAAAGAUGACCUGGGUUUGACUCCCCACCAAUGCA